This 526-nucleotide ribosomal RNA is filed under the name uncultured bacterium. RNAcentral's name for it is "bacterial SSU rRNA". It matches the Rfam family "Bacterial small subunit ribosomal RNA", at positions 8 to 526 of the family's 1533-position model. The record is from RNAcentral.
AGAGUUUGAUCAUGGCUCAGGAUGAACGCUAGCGGCAGGCUUAAUACAUGCAAGUCGAGGGGCAGCAGGGGUGUAGCAAUACACUUGCUGGCGACCGGCAAACGGGUGCGGAACACGUACGCAAUCUACCCAUAACUGAUGAAUAGCCCUCCGAAAGGAGGAUUAAUACAUCGCAACCUGGUGAAGUGGCAUCACUUUAUUAGUAUAGCUCCGGCGGUUAUGGAUGAGCGUGCGGCUGAUUAGGUAGUUGGCGGGGUAACGGCCCACCAAGCCUGCGAUCAGUAACUGGUGUGAGAGCACGACCAGUCACACGGGCACUGAGACACGGGCCCGACUCCUACGGGAGGCAGCAGUAAGGAAUAUUGGUCAAUGGACGCAAGUCUGAACCAGCCAUGCCGCGUGGAGGAUGAAGGCCCUCUGGGUUGUAAACUUCUUUUAUCUGGGACGAAACCUCUUUUUCUUGAGAGACUGACGGUACCAGAGGAAUAAGCACCGGCUAACUCCGUGCCAGCAGCCGCGGUAAUAC